This is a non-coding RNA of Orcinus orca (killer whale), 73 nucleotides long. Lineage: Eukaryota; Metazoa; Chordata; Mammalia; Artiodactyla; Delphinidae. The record is from the annotation of a RefSeq genome assembly.
UCCCUGGUGGUCUAGUGGUUAAGACUCCGUGCUUGCAAUGCAGAGGGCUUGGGUUCGAUCCCCGAUUGGGGAA